ACUCAAAGGAAUUGACGGGGACCCGCACAAGCGGUGGAGCGUGUGGUUUAAUUCGACGAUAAGCGGAGAACCUUACCAAGGUUUGACAUCCCAGGAAUCUCUUGGAAACGAGAGAGUGCCGCAAGGAGCCUGGUGACAGGUGCUGCAUGGUCGUCGUCAGCUCGUGUCGUGAGAUGUUGGGUUAAGUCCCGCAACGAGCGCAACCCUUGUCGUGUGUUGUAUUUUUCACGCGAGACUGCCUCGGUUAACGAGGAGGAAGGUGGGGAUGACGUCAGAUCAGCAUGGCCCUUAUACCUUGGGCGACACACGCGCUACAAUGGCCGGUACAAUGAGUUGCGAAACCGCGAGGUGAAGCUAAUCUCAUCAAAGCCGGUCCCAGUUCGGAUUGGAGGCUGCAACUCGCCUCCAUGAAGCCGGAAUCGCUAGUAAACGCGGAUCAGCCACGCCGCGUUGAAUACGUUCUCGGGUCUUGCACACACCGCCCGU
Molecule: ribosomal RNA, 486 nt
Filed under: uncultured bacterium
Lineage: Bacteria
Description: partial 16S ribosomal RNA
Rfam family: Bacterial small subunit ribosomal RNA
Source: RNAcentral